Molecule: ribosomal RNA, 435 nt
Filed under: uncultured bacterium
Lineage: Bacteria
Description: partial 16S ribosomal RNA
Rfam family: Bacterial small subunit ribosomal RNA
Source: RNAcentral
AGCGAACGCUGGCGGCAGGCUUAACACAUGCAAGUCGAGCGGGCACUUUCGGGUGUCAGCGGCGGACGGGUGAGUAACGCGUGGGAACGUGCCCUCUGGUUCGGAAUAACUCAGGGAAACUUGAGCUAAUACCGGAUACGCCCUUUUGGGGAAAGGCUUGCUGCCGGAGGAUCGGCCCGCGUCUGAUUAGCUAGUUGGUGAGGUAACGGCUCACCAAGGCGACGAUCAGUAGCUGGUCUGAGAGGAUGAUCAGCCACACUGGGACUGAGACACGGCCCAGACUCCUACGGGAGGCAGCAGUGGGGAAUAUUGGACAAUGGGCGCAAGCCUGAUCCAGCCAUGCCGCGUGAGUGAUGAAGGCCUUAGGGUUGUAAAGCUCUUUUAUCCGGGACGAUAAUGACGGUACCAGAGGAAUAAGCCCCGGCUAACUUCGUG